GACGAACGCUGGCGGCGUGCUUAACACAUGCAAGUCGAACGGAAAGGCCUCUUUCGGGGGGUACUCGAGUGGCGAACGGGUGAGUAACACGUGAGUAACCUGCCCUUGACCUUGGGAUAACUUCAGGAAACUGGGGCUAUCACCGGAUCGGAGCUCCUGCUCCAUGGUGGGGGUUGGCAAGUUUUGGCGCUUGGGGAGGGGUUCGCGGCUUAUCAGCUAGUUGGUAGGGUAGUGGCUUACCAAGGCAUCGACGAAUAGCUGGCUUGAGAGGAUGAUCAGCCACACUGGGACUGAGAAACGGCCCAGACUACUACGGGAGGCAGUAGUGGGGAAUAUUGGACAAUGGGCGAAAGCCUGAUCCAGCAAUGCCGCGUGAGUGAUGAAGGCCUUAGGGUUGUAAAGCUCUUUUACAAGGGAUGAUAAUGACAGGACCGGGAGAAUAAGCUCCGGCUAACUCCGUG
This 461-nucleotide ribosomal RNA is filed under the name uncultured bacterium. RNAcentral's name for it is "partial 16S ribosomal RNA". It matches the Rfam family "Bacterial small subunit ribosomal RNA", at positions 28 to 507 of the family's 1533-position model. The record is from RNAcentral.